AGUGGCAGACGGGUGAGUAAUGUAUAGGAAUCUACCUAGUAGUACGGAAUAAUUGUUGGAAACGGCAACUAAUACCGUAUACGCCCUACGGGGGAAAAAUUUAUUGCUAUUAGAUGAGCCUAUAUUAGAUUAGUUAGUUGGUGAGGUAAAGGCUUACCAAGACAAUGAUCUAUAGCUGAUCUGAGAGGAUGAUCAGCCACACUGGAACUGAGAUACGGUCCAGACUCCUACGGGAGGCAGCAGUGGGGAAUAUUGGACAAUGGGCGAAAGCCUGAUCCAGCCAUGCCGCAUGAGUGAAGAAGGCCUUCGGGUUGUAAAGCUCUUUUAGUGAGGAAGAUAAUGAAGGUACUCACAGAAGAAGUCCUGGCUAACUCCGUGCCAGCAGCCGCGGUAAUACGGAGAGGGCUAGCGUUAUUCGGAAUCAUUGGGCGUAAAGGGCGCGUAGGCGGGUUAGUAAGUUAAAAGUGAAAUCCCAAGGCUCAACCUUGGAACUGCUUUUAAAACUGCUAGUCUAGAGAUUGAAAGAGGAUAGAGGAAUUCCUAGUGUAGAGAUGAAAUUCGUAAAUAUUAGGAGGAACACCAGUGGCGAANGCGUCUAUCUGGUUCAAAUCUGACGCUGAGGCGCGAAGGCGUGGGGAGCAAACAGGAUUAGAUACCNUGNUAGUCCACGCUGUAAACGAUGAAUGUUAAAUAUGGGAAGUUUACUUUCUGUAUUAUGGCUAACGCGUUAAACAUUCCGCCUGGGGACUACNGUCGCAAGAUUAAAACUCA
RNAcentral lists this ribosomal RNA (771 nucleotides) under uncultured Wolbachia sp. RNAcentral describes it as "bacterial SSU rRNA". It matches the Rfam family "Bacterial small subunit ribosomal RNA", at positions 94 to 903 of the family's 1533-position model. Lineage: Bacteria; Pseudomonadati; Pseudomonadota; Alphaproteobacteria; Rickettsiales; Anaplasmataceae. The record is from RNAcentral.